GCUGGCUUAGUUAAUACAGUGCUUGACUUUGAAUCAUGAAGACCUGAGUUCAACCCUCAGAACCUACA
RNAcentral lists this transfer RNA (68 nucleotides) under Rattus norvegicus (Norway rat). It matches the Rfam family "tRNA". From Rfam's summary of the family: Transfer RNA (tRNA) molecules are approximately 80 nucleotides in length. Their secondary structure includes four short double-helical elements and three loops (D, anti-codon, and T loops). Further hydrogen bonds mediate the characteristic L-shaped molecular structure. tRNAs have two regions of fundamental functional importance: the anti-codon, which is responsible for specific mRNA codon recognition, and the 3' end, to which the tRNAs corresponding amino acid is attached (by aminoacyl-tRNA synthetases). tRNAs cope with the degeneracy of the genetic code in two manners: having more than one tRNA (with a specific anti-codon) for a particular amino acid; and 'wobble' base-pairing, i.e. permitting non-standard base-pairing at the 3rd anti-codon position. The record is from Rfam by way of RNAcentral. Lineage: Eukaryota; Metazoa; Chordata; Mammalia; Rodentia; Muridae.